ACUAACGCUGGCGGCGUGCCUAACACAUGCAAGUCGAACGAAGCAGCAAUGCUUAGUGGCAGACGGGUGAGUAACGCGUAGAUAAUGUGCCCUCUUGCGGGGGAUACCGUUUCGAAAGGAACGUUAAUACCGCAUAACACCUUCGGUGGGCAUCCAUCGAGGGUCAAACUUCCGGGGCGGGAGGAGCAAUCUGCGUUCUAUCAGGUAGUUGGUGAGGUAACGGCUCACCAAGCCUACGACGGAUAACUGGUCUGAGAGGAUGAUCAGUCACACUGGAACUGAGACACGGUCCAGACUCCUACGGGAGGCAGCAGUGAGGAAUAUUGCGCAAUGGGCGAAAGCCUGACGCAGCGACGCCGCGUGGAGGAUGAAGGCCUUCGGGUUGUAAACUACUGUCACUUGGGAAGAAACUUGCCUUGGUGAAUAAUCAAGGUAAUUGACUGUACCAAGAGAGGAAGCCACGGCUAACUCUGU
RNAcentral lists this ribosomal RNA (474 nucleotides) under uncultured bacterium. RNAcentral's name for it is "bacterial SSU rRNA". It matches the Rfam family "Bacterial small subunit ribosomal RNA", at positions 29 to 506 of the family's 1533-position model. The record is from RNAcentral.